RNAcentral lists this ribosomal RNA (253 nucleotides) under uncultured bacterium. RNAcentral's name for it is "partial 16S ribosomal RNA". It matches the Rfam family "Bacterial small subunit ribosomal RNA", at positions 524 to 776 of the family's 1533-position model. The record is from RNAcentral.
UACGUAGGGUGCGAGCGUUAUUCGGAUUUACUGGGCGUAAAGCGUGUGUAGGUGGUUUAACACGUCCUUGAUUAAAGACUCGGGCUCAACUCGAGGAAUGUUGAGGAUACGAUUAGACUAGAGGUUUGCAGGGGCAGAUGGAAUUCCCGGUGUAGCAGUGAUAUGCGUAGAUAUCGGGAAGAACACCGAUGGCGAAAGCAGUCUGCUGGGCUCAUCCUGACACUGAGACACGAAAGCGUGGGUAGCGAACGGG